AUUGAACGCUGGCGGCAUGCUUUACACAUGCAAGUCGAACGGCAGCGGGGAGGAGCUUGCUUCUCUGCCGGCGAGUGGCGAACGGGUGAGUAAUACAUCGGAACGUGUCGAGAAGAGGGGGAUAACCACCCGAAAGGGUGGCUAAUACCGCAUAAAUUCUGAGGAAGAAAGCUGGGGACCUAGGAAUAGGCCUAGCGCUUUUUGAGCGGCCGAUGUCGGAUUAGCUAGUUGGUGAGGUAAAGGCUCACCAAGGCGAAGAUCUGUAGCGGGUCUGAGAGGAUGAUCCGCCACACUGGGACUGAGACACGGCCAGACUCCUACGGGAGGCAGCAGUGGGGAAUUUUGGACAAUGGGGGCAACCCUGAUCCAGCCAUGCCGCGUGUAUGAAGAAGGCCUUAGGGUUGUAAAGUACUUUUGUUAGGGAAGAAAAGUCAGCUGUGAAUAAUGGCUGAUACUGACGGUACCUAAAGAAUAAGCACCGGCUAACUACGUG
RNAcentral lists this ribosomal RNA (493 nucleotides) under uncultured bacterium. RNAcentral describes it as "partial 16S ribosomal RNA". It matches the Rfam family "Bacterial small subunit ribosomal RNA", at positions 30 to 507 of the family's 1533-position model. The record is from RNAcentral.